ACAAAACAAACUAACCAUUUGUGGCAAAUAAUACAUUUUUGAGAAAAUCAACAUUUUCUUUGACUGGACUGAUUUCUAAAUGAAAAGGCAAGUAGCUAACUUGUUGACUAACUAGAUGUUGGUCUGGAAAAUUAUUAGCCGUGACCAAACCGUACAUUUUAAAAUCUAUUCAUAGUGCUGAUGCUGAAGCCCCCUGGGAGUGGUUUUGGUAAAUUGAAAAAUGUUUCAGACCACAAAGCUAUAUUCCAGGAAGCAAGUGAUAGGGCUACCCACAUAAUGGUUACUAUGACAACACUCAUCUCUUGCCAUCCCACAUCAAGGUAGAAGGUCCCCAUGGCCUCCACUGAGAACAUGUGGGCAGGACUUCCAAUUCACUGAUUCACAAAGAUAAACCCGCUUCUUGCGAACAGAACACAAAGACCACCAUUCGGUCAUCUCCUCGACCCCUUUUCCAUAAAUAAACAGGUGGGUUUUAGAUGGUUUGACUAUUAGUCAAAAAAAUAUAUUUAGUCGUAGUUCACACAUAAGGUCCCUAUGGUGUUUGUGGCCCCCUAUGGGCUCUGUAGAGGUACUAACGGGGGUCCAAUAACACCUAUUUCACCUGAUUUUGGCAGAAAAAGAAAGCGAAUUAAACAAAAAUCAAAUUAAUGCAAUUUGAACCAAAUGUACAUGCUUCAUUAUUUCAUGCAACAUUCAAAUGCAGUAUUGAAAUUGUAAAUAUUCCAGUGUACAGCUCAUCAACGAAGAUCAUUUUAAAGACACAGCGCCUGCAGCAAUCUCACCAUCUAUUUACAGUGAAAUACAGGGCGCUGUAUUGUGGCAAGUCAUAUGGCUGUUCUCAGGUAAAUGCCGUAUAAUGCAAACCACAAGCUAGUGUGUGUGUUCUUCAGAAAUAACACCCUUGUGAUGCAUCUUUCAGCAGAAAGCAUGAGACACUAUCAGCACAGGCUCCAGGAACGAGACCUCUAGAGAAAAUGCCAAUGAGUCUCUCAUGAGACUCUCUGCAUGCAUCCAUUUAUGGUCGCUUUUAAUAAGCUUGGCAUCAACCUGUUUCUACCGUCCAGAACACCACACUGAAGAUAAAGUUGCAUGCGCAUUCAAUCCACUUCGACAUGUUCACUCUUACAAAAACGGCACUAGUGAUGUGGUCGAACCUUGUAUCCCCCCACAUUUGCACAAAUAAUAAUAACAAUCAAAUAGAAGAAGAAAAUAAUAUUAAUAAUAAAGAAAGAAAAGAAAUAAUUGGGAAUGAAUGAAUAAAUAAGAAAGUGAACAAAUGAAAGGGGAGGCACUGGAAAAGAACCAACAUAUGAAAUGCAUAUAUAGAUAUUAAUAUAUUCAGGGGUAGUAUUAUAAUAGUAAAAAUAAAAUCUAUAAUAAUAAAACUAUACAUUAUGUCAAUAGAAUACAUCAGUACAAGUAGACAUGCCUAAACAUAUACGCAUACAUGAGUACAUAUAGAAAUGCAUAAACACGUACACAUAGAUACAAAUUAUUUCUAUAUCUGCUCCUAGGUUUAUAUGUUAAUCAUCUUUUCUAACUAUAUGUUUGUCAAGUUUUUGUUGGGAGAGUGCGUAGGUCGGGUGCCAGGAUUCUGGUGUAUAUCGAAAUAAGUCAGAAAUUGAUUCCAGAUGUCCUUAAAUAUAUUUUUCUUAUUUGUGUAUGUUAUUUUUUUUUCUAAUGAAUAUGUAUUCUAUAAAAAGGUUAGUCCAGUGGUUGAUGUGUAUCCUUUUUUUUUUUGUAUUUCCAGUUUAGACCAGUUCCAGAUAGUAAAGAAAGAUGAAGAGGGUAUUUUUAUAUUUAAUCAGAUGAUUAUCAACUUCUGUGGUUUUACCCAGUAAACAGAGUGAUGGAGACGGAGGAAUACUACAGCCCAUAAUGAUAGAAAGUUGAACGGUCGCUGAUAUCCAAAAGGAAUGAACAGGUUGGCAAGUCCAUGUGGCAUGCAAAUAGUCAUCGGUGCUACCCAGUGUGCAAAGUGAGCAAAUAUCUGUCGCUUAGACCCAUUUAAAAAAUAAAUCCUUUGAGUGAUGUGAGUCCUGUGAAGUAUCUUGUACUGUAUUAGUUGUAGGUUUGUAUUGCUAGUCACAGAAAAUAUAUUACCACAGACUUCUUUCCAGAAGCCGGUUUUCCCAUUUAGCCAUUGGUAAAAUUAUAGUUGUAUUAGUAUAGAAAUCAAAUUCUUUUCUCAGUAUCACACAGAUCUAUCACUGAUGUUUGGAUAAGCACUUUCCAUAUUACGGGUGUGUUUAGCAUGUAUGAAAAAUUGACUAAGAGAAAUAACAUCUGAAUAAGCAGCCCACAGUAAGUAGGAAAAUGACCUCAAAAAUAUAAUUUUUAUAUUUCCAAUCUCCCCUCCCACAGGAAUGCGGCUUUUUCAUCACAGUAAUAAUAUAUGCACGUGUUAGUUACAAAACUGCUAAUAUAUAGUUCGUUUUUAAUAGAAAAAAAAGGUUUUAACCAAUCACAAGAAGCAGAACUGGACUCAGCCAGAGUUCCCCUUAAUCAUCAAGAGACCCAAACACUGAGAAACCCACCUAUUCUAGGAAACGAUGACUAUCGGGAAUUAAAUAGACUUGUUGAUAUUUCACAAGAACAGGAAACUUGCAGAUGUAUUUUGAUCUACAAAUAAACCAUGUGUGAGGAAAGAUUUUAAAGCAGAACAACGCUUUAUGAGAUGACACUUCACUAUAAAUGGUAAAAAAAAAAAAAAAAAAAAA
Molecule: long non-coding RNA, 2720 nt
Organism: Carassius auratus (goldfish)
Lineage: Eukaryota; Metazoa; Chordata; Actinopteri; Cypriniformes; Cyprinidae
Exons: 2
Source: RefSeq, a predicted model, not a curated record